This 497-nucleotide ribosomal RNA is filed under the name uncultured bacterium. Its description in RNAcentral is "partial 16S ribosomal RNA". It matches the Rfam family "Bacterial small subunit ribosomal RNA", at positions 28 to 507 of the family's 1533-position model. The record is from RNAcentral.
GAUGAACGCUGGCGGCGUGCCUAAUACAUGCAAGUCGAGCGAACAGACGAGAAGCUUGCUCCUCUGACGUUAGCGGCGGACGGGUGAGUAACACGUGGAUAACCUACCUAUAAGACUGGGAUAACUUCGGGAAACCGGAGCUAAUACCGGAUAAUAUAUUGAACCGCAUGGUUCAAUAGUGAAAGACGGUUUUGCUGUCACUUAUAGAUGGAUCCGCGCUGCAUUAGCUAGUUGGUAAGGUAACGGCUUACCAAGGCAACGAUGCGUAGCCGACCUGAGAGGGUGAUCGGCCACACUGGAACUGAGACACGGUCCAGACUCCUACGGGAGGCAGCAGUAGGGAAUCUUCCGCAAUGGGCGAAAGCCUGACGGAGCAACGCCGCGUGAGUGAUGAAGGUCUUCGGAUCGUAAAACUCUGUUAUUAGGGAAGAACAUAUGUGUAAGUAACUGUGCACGUCUUGACGGUACCUAAUCAGAAAGCCACGGCUAACUACGUG